UACGUAGGGUGCGAGCGUUGUCCGGAAUUAUUGGGCGUAGAGGGCUCGUAGGCGGCCAACUAAGUCGGAUGUGAAAUCCCCAGGCUUAACCUGGGAACUGCAUCCGAUACUGGAUGGCUUGAAUCCGGGAGAGGGAUGCAGAAUUCCAGGUGUAGCGGUGAAAUGCGUAGAUAUCUGGAGGAAUACCGGUGGCGAAGGCGGCAUCCUGGACCGGCAUUGACGCUGAUGAGCGAAAGCUAGGGGAGCAAACGGG
Molecule: ribosomal RNA, 253 nt
Filed under: uncultured bacterium
Lineage: Bacteria
Description: partial 16S ribosomal RNA
Rfam family: Bacterial small subunit ribosomal RNA
Source: RNAcentral